GAUGAACGCUGGCGGCGUACCUAAUACAUGCAAGUCGAGCGAACAGACGAGGAGCUUGCUCCUCUGCCGUUAGCGGCGGACGGGUGAGUAACACGUGGAUAACCUACUUAUAUGACUGGGAUAACUUCGGGAAACCGGAGCUAAUACCGGAUAAUAUAUUGAACCGCUUGGUUCAAUAGUGCAUGACGGUUUUGCUGUCACUUAUAGAUGGUUUCGCGCUGCAUUAGCUAGUUGGUAAGGUAACGGCUUACCAAGGCAACGAUGCGUAGCCGACCUGAGAGGAUGAUCGGCCACACUGGAACUGAGACACGGUCCAGACUCCUACGGGAGGCAGCAGUAGGGAAUCUUCCGCAAUGGGCGAAAGCCUGACGGAGCAACGCCGCGUGAGUGAUGAAGGUCUUCGGAUCGUAAAACUCUGUUAUUAGGGAAGAACAAAUGUGUAAGUAACUAUGCACGUCUUGACGGUACCUAAUCAGAAAGCCACGGCUAACUACGUG
Molecule: ribosomal RNA, 497 nt
Filed under: uncultured bacterium
Lineage: Bacteria
Description: partial 16S ribosomal RNA
Rfam family: Bacterial small subunit ribosomal RNA
Source: RNAcentral